RNAcentral lists this transfer RNA (68 nucleotides) under Calantica studeri. RNAcentral's name for it is "tRNA-Gln". The record is from RNAcentral. Lineage: Eukaryota; Metazoa; Arthropoda; Thecostraca; Calanticomorpha; Calanticidae.
UAAUAGUAGGUGUAAAGGCACUUCUUGUUUUGAUCAAGAGGGGGGUAGUGUAAUUCUAUCAUUAUUAU